RNAcentral lists this long non-coding RNA (1065 nucleotides) under Ananas comosus (pineapple). Its description in RNAcentral is "long non-coding RNA (ACOM_LNC025454)". The record is from RNAcentral. Lineage: Eukaryota; Viridiplantae; Streptophyta; Magnoliopsida; Poales; Bromeliaceae.
AAAUCCAAUUUUUUUGGGCUUUUGCAAAACCGGACCACAUUUUUCGCUUUUGUAGAUUCGGUCCGCUUUUUCAGCAAACUGAUCAAAAUACCCCUAUUACUUUUUCUCUUUUCUCUUUCUCUCUCCUCUUCGUUUUUCUCGUUUUUUUUUCUCGCCGAAAAAAGUAGCGAAGGCAGAGGCGGAGGCAGAGGCGGAAACGGUCCACCUCGCCUCUCACCCUCAUGCUCUCGCCCUCGCCCUUGCCCUCGCCCACGCACCCCCACCUUCCUCGCCUUUGACCCCGUCAAGGCCGCGCUGCGACUUUUUUUUUUUUUGCUUUUUUCUUUUCUUUUCUUCUCCGAUUCUCCUCGAGCGUCUCCGACGACGACGUCUCUCUCGCCCUUCCCCGCCCUUCUCGUCUCUCCCUCUCCCUUUUUCUCUGCCGCCUCUGACGACGAUGCAUCUUCGUCGGCGCCGACACCGACACCGUGGAGGUCACUGCGGCUCUGCAGCCUUGGAGCGGGAGAGUUCUUAGCGGCGUCGUCACCGGCGCCGUGGCUGUUGGCAAAGAGGGUGACAAAAAAAAAAUUAUAGAUGAAACAGAAAAAAAAAAUAAAAAAUUAUAUAAAAAAAGGAUGAAUAUGAAAUUGCAUCGAUAUCUACAAAAAAAAUUACAAGUUGCACUACUUAAGAUGUAAACUGCAGUUUUAAGAUAAAAAUUACACUAUUUGGGAGAUAUUUACACUGUUUCUCUUCUUAUUGCACUCUUUCAGAUGUAAACUGCAUCCAUUAAGAUGAAAGUUACACUCUUUAAAUGAAAGUUGCACUGUUUCUCCUCUUGUUGCACCAUUUCUCCUUUCUUACACUAUUUUUUAUCUUAAACUGCACCCAUUUAAGAGAUAUUUAUACUGUUUCUUCUCUUGUUGCACUGUUUUUCCUUUUAUUGCACUAUUUCUCCUCUUGUUGUAGGUGAAGUUUUAUUAGUUCUAUCAUUUAAUUUUUUAUUUUGAUAAUUCAUAAUAAGUUUUUUUUUUUUUAUACAAGUAGGUAAUUAUAUUUAAAGUUAAAAAUUCUUUAGGUUGAUGA